AGGGGAACCUGAUCCUUCAUGCCGCGUGUGUGAAGAAGGCCUUAUGGUUGUAAAGCACUUUAAGCGAGGAGGAGGUACUUUAGUUAAUACCUAGAGAUAGUGGACGUUACUCGCAGAAUAAGCACCGGCUAACUCUGUGCCAGCAGCCGCGGUAAUACAGAGGGUGCAAGCGUUAAUCGGAUUUACUGGGCGUAAAGCGCGCGUAGGCGGCUAAUUAAGUCAAAUGUGAAAUCCCCGAGCUUAACUUGGGAAUUGCAUUCGAUACUGGUUAGCUAGAGUGUGGGAGAGGAUGGUAGAAUUCCAGGUGUAGCGGUGAAAUGCGUAGAGAUCUGGAGGAAUACCGAUGGCGAAGGCAGCCAUCUGGCCUAACACUGACGCUGAGGUGCGAAAGCAUGGGGAGCAAACAGGAUUAGAUACCCUGGUAGUCCAUGCCGUAAACGAUGUCUACUAGCCGUUGGGGCCUUUGAGGCUUUAGUGGCGCAGCUAACGCGAUAAGUAGAC
This 501-nucleotide ribosomal RNA is filed under the name uncultured bacterium. Its description in RNAcentral is "bacterial SSU rRNA". It matches the Rfam family "Bacterial small subunit ribosomal RNA", at positions 374 to 869 of the family's 1533-position model. The record is from RNAcentral.